RNAcentral lists this non-coding RNA (27 nucleotides) under Homo sapiens (human). The record is from RNAcentral. Lineage: Eukaryota; Metazoa; Chordata; Mammalia; Primates; Hominidae.
UGAAUAGGGAUUCUGGACCUUACACGU